AAGAAUACCAAUUGCGAAGGCAGCUUUCUGGAUCAUUACUGACACUGAGGAACGAAAGCAUGGGUAGCGAAGAGGAUUAGAUACCCUCGUAGUCCAUGCCGUAAACGAUGUGUGUUAGACGUUGGAAAUUUAUUUUCAGUGUCGCAGCGAAAGCAAUAAACACACCGCCUGGGGAGUACGACCGCAAGGUUAAAACUCAAAUGAAUUGACGGGGACCCGCACAAGUAGUGGAGCAUGUGGUUUAAUUCGAAGAUACGCGCAGAACCUUACCAACACUUGACAUGUUCGUCGCGACUCUAAGAGAUUAGAGUUUUCGGUUCGGCCGGACGAAACACAGGUGCUGCAUGGCUGUCGUCAGCUCGUGUCGUGAGAUGUUGGGUUAAGUCCCGCAACGAGCGCAACCCUCACUUUUAGUUGCCAUCAUUUAGUUGGGCACUCUGAAAGAACUGCCAGUGAUAAGCUGGAGGAAGGUGGGGAUGACGUCAAGUCCUCAUGGCCCUUACGUGUUGGGCUACACACGUGCUACAAUGGCAUUUACAAUAGGAAGCAAGAUGGCGACAUCAAGCAAAUCCUAAAAAAGUGCCUCAGUUCGGAUUGCACUCUGCAACUCGAGUGCAUGAAGCUGGAAUUACUAGUAAUCGCGGAUCAGCGCGCCGCGGUGAAUACGUUCCCGGGUCUUGUACACACCGCCCGUCACACCAUGGGAGUUGGUUCUACCUUAAGGCAAAGCGUAAAAACUUUGACCACGGUAUAGUCAGCGACUGGGGUGAAGUCGUAACAAGGUAGCCGUAGGGGAACCUGCGGCUG
RNAcentral lists this ribosomal RNA (807 nucleotides) under marine metagenome. Its description in RNAcentral is "bacterial SSU rRNA". It matches the Rfam family "Bacterial small subunit ribosomal RNA", at positions 702 to 1520 of the family's 1533-position model. The record is from RNAcentral.